GCUCAUUGCACACCACCUCCUUUCCUGGGAGUGGAGAAGCCCCAGCCAGAACCCUUGCCUUCCCCAAGAGGCACGCUCAGAGGGACAUUCUGCCCUUCCUCACUGCCCCUAGAGCCAACAUCACACCUGGCUUUGGGGCCCUAGAACCUCAGCCCGCGCCCCUCCCCUUCCACCCCCAGCCAUCCCUGCUCUGUGCCCAGUGAUCUUGGGGUCACCACAACCCCAUGGCGCCUUGAGGCCUCACCUUUCCUGGCCUCUCAGCAUCCUGGGACACUGAUGGUCAUGCCUUCCUUCUAGAAAGUUCUCUCCGAGGCUGUGGCUUCCAGGAUGAGCACUCUCCUCCUCCCACUUCCUCCCCUUCUCCUUCCCCCUCCUCCCUUCUCCCUGGAGAGGUCUUUCUCCAAGCCCCAGUCUUCCUCCCCACCCGGUGCCCCUCCCGCUGACAUUUGUCUGCAGUGCCUGUCUCCGCUCCCGCUAGGAAGCCUCCCCUCCGGCAUCUCCAAUCCAUCUCUGGGUCCUGCUCCACCUGCAUUUCCCUAGACCUGUCCUGGCCACCCUCACCCUGGGACACCUCCUGCCCGUGGAGAGCUCCUCUGAUAGCCUCAGUCCGAGACCUCUGUGAAUGGGGGUGAUGGCUAAUGGGAUGAGGGGACCACCUCCUGGUGGCUGCAGGGACUGGGGUGAGGGUGCUGUAGGCUCUGCCUAAGUCAAGUGCCAUGGGGCUGAAGAGACGGCGCACCGGCCCUGGAGAAGAGUCCUCCCUGCCCUCCUGUGUCUGGCCUUGUUUCCUGGAGGACAGGUCCCCACGGGGCAGAGACCCAGCAGUCCCAGGUAAGCGCUGGGUGGCCGGAGUCUGGUACCUGCAGGAAGAGAAGUAGAAGAAUAAAUUUGGAGUGUGUGAAGGGGGCAAAGCCUGAAAGGUUCGGACUCAGUGUGGGGAGGGAGAGGGAACAGAUGGGGUGGGGCACCUCCCCUGGGCUGGGUGACCCUUAUUUAUAUGACUGAAUCCAUGACAAGAUUGUUUGCUUGACCAAACUGUAGUCCGGCUUCAGAACCUUCUCGCAGGCUCAUCUGCAUUCUGCCUUAUAAAAUCCAGAUUUAGCAAGAACUCUGCUAAGUCAGUUUGGCAAGAAGCCUCCAUCCCCCCAUAUCUGAUCAGGGUCCUCAGCCUCCGCCACCCCCAGGCGAUGUCUGCUUACCUUGCCUGCCUUCAGCAAGCUUCCUUUUACCUGGGUAGGGUCCUCAGUUUCUGCCACCCCCAGGCAAUAUCUGCUCACCCUGGCUGCCUUCAGCAAGCUUCAUUUUACCUUGGUAGGUUCCUUAGCCUCUGCCACCUCCAGGCCAUGUCUGCUAACCCUGUCUGCCUUCAGCAAGCUUCGUUUUACCUGGGUAGGGUUCUUAGCCUCCGCCACCCCCAGGCGAUGUCUGCUAACCCUGCCUGCCCUCAGCAAGCUUCCUGUUUCCUGGGUUUAGCCAGAAUCCUCCAGACAGGUGUUUCGUGCCAUCCUGAACAAAAUAUGUGUUUCAACUGCUAUCCAGUUCUGGUUUCCCUUGACAUUG
Molecule: long non-coding RNA, 1560 nt
Filed under: Pan troglodytes (chimpanzee)
Lineage: Eukaryota; Metazoa; Chordata; Mammalia; Primates; Hominidae
Description: long non-coding RNA NONPTRT010701
Source: RNAcentral